RNAcentral lists this ribosomal RNA (118 nucleotides) under Candidatus Diapherotrites archaeon CG11_big_fil_rev_8_21_14_0_20_37_9. The record is from RNAcentral. Lineage: Archaea; Nanobdellati; Candidatus Iainarchaeota.
AUUAGCGGCCACAGCGAUAGGGAAACACCUGUUCUCAUUCCGAACACAGAAGUUAAGCCUGUCUGCGAUUUGGUCUUGCCCUGUUCUUUUGAACGGAGCUGCCUUGACGCUGCUAAUC